CGCCGGAGGAACCGUAAACCCAAACUCUUGUUUUUAACCGUGUAACUGUCUGAGAAAAUACUUUAAAUAAGUCAAAACUUUCAACAACGGAUCUCUUGGUUCUGGCAUCGAUGAAGAACGCAGCGAAAUGCGAUAAGUAAUGUGAAUUGCAGAAUUCAGUGAAUCAUCGAGUCUUUGAACGCACCUUGCGCCCUCUGGUAUUCCGGAGGGCAUGCCUGUUUGAGUGUCAUGAAACUCUCAACCCCUCGGGUUUUACGACCUGUUGGGUUGGAUUUGGGCGUUGCCGCUUUGUUGCCGGCUCGCCUCAAAAGUCUUAGUGGGAAUAAUCGGACCCAUAGCUUGGCGUAAUAAGUUUCGCUGGGCUCGUGGCCGACGACCGUCCGCUGACAACGACCCAUACUCUUUCCAUCUGACCUCGGAUCAGGUA
Molecule: ribosomal RNA, 427 nt
Filed under: uncultured fungus
Lineage: Eukaryota; Fungi
Description: eukaryotic LSU rRNA
Rfam family: 5.8S ribosomal RNA (bases 76-229)
Source: RNAcentral